This 445-nucleotide ribosomal RNA is filed under the name uncultured bacterium. RNAcentral's name for it is "partial 16S ribosomal RNA". It matches the Rfam family "Bacterial small subunit ribosomal RNA", at positions 354 to 796 of the family's 1533-position model. The record is from RNAcentral.
GUGAGGAAUAUUGGUCAAUGGACGGAAGUCUGAACCAGCCAAGUAGCGUGCAGGAUGACGGCCCUAUGGGUUGUAAACUGCUUUUAUGCGGGGGUAAAGUGAGUGACGUGUCAUUCAUUGCAAGUACCGCAAGAAUAAGGACCGGCUAAUUCCGUGCCAGCAGCCGCGGUAAUACGGAAGGUCCUGGUGUUAUCCGGAUUUAUUGGGUUUAAAGGGAGCGUAGGCCGUCAGGCAAGCGUGUUGUGAAAUGUCGUGGCUCAACCAUGGACUUGCAGCGCGAACUGCCCGACUUGAGUGCGCGGAAAGCAGGCGGAAUUUGUGGUGUAGCGGUGAAAUGCUUAGAUAUCACGAAGAACCCCGAUUGCGAAGGCAGCCUGCUGUAGCGCUACUGACGCUGAAGCUCGAAAGUGCGGGUAUCGAACAGGAUUAGAAACCCCAGUAGUCC